CGCGGUAAUACGGAGGAUCCAAGCGUUAUCCGGAUUUAUUGGGUUUAAAAGGGUGCGUAGGCGGGAUAAUAAGUCAGUGGUGAAAGCUCACAGCUUAACUGUGGAACUGCCAUUGAUACUGUUAACCUUGAGUGUGUUUGAAGUGGGCGGAAUGUGCAGUGUAGCGGUGAAAUGCUUAGAUAUUGCACAGAACACCAAUUGCGAAGGCAGCUCACUAAACCAUAACUGACGCUGAGGCACGAAAGUGUGGGGAUCAAACAGGAUUAGAUACCCUGGUAGUCCACACUGUAAACGAUGAUUACUCGCUGUUUGCGAUACACAGUAAGCGGCUAAGCGAAAAGCGUUAAGUAAUCCACCUGGGGAGUACGCUCGCAAGAGUGAAACUCAAAGGAAUUGGACGGGGGCCCGCACAAGCGGAGGAGCAUGUGGUUAAUUCGAUGAUACGCGAGGAACCUUACC
This 459-nucleotide ribosomal RNA is filed under the name uncultured bacterium. RNAcentral's name for it is "bacterial SSU rRNA". It matches the Rfam family "Bacterial small subunit ribosomal RNA", at positions 516 to 975 of the family's 1533-position model. The record is from RNAcentral.